GGAAUAUAGCUCAGUUGGUAGAGUGUUUGCCUCGCAUGCACAAGGGCCUGGGCUCAAUCCCCAGAACCA
Molecule: transfer RNA, 69 nt
Filed under: Marmota monax (woodchuck)
Lineage: Eukaryota; Metazoa; Chordata; Mammalia; Rodentia; Sciuridae
Description: tRNA.Ala
Rfam family: tRNA (bases 7-64)
About the family: Transfer RNA (tRNA) molecules are approximately 80 nucleotides in length. Their secondary structure includes four short double-helical elements and three loops (D, anti-codon, and T loops). Further hydrogen bonds mediate the characteristic L-shaped molecular structure. tRNAs have two regions of fundamental functional importance: the anti-codon, which is responsible for specific mRNA codon recognition, and the 3' end, to which the tRNAs corresponding amino acid is attached (by aminoacyl-tRNA synthetases). tRNAs cope with the degeneracy of the genetic code in two manners: having more than one tRNA (with a specific anti-codon) for a particular amino acid; and 'wobble' base-pairing, i.e. permitting non-standard base-pairing at the 3rd anti-codon position.
Source: RNAcentral